Formica exsecta is the source of this 281-nucleotide long non-coding RNA. RefSeq lists it as uncharacterized. The transcript has 2 exons. The record is from RefSeq and is a predicted model, not a curated record. Lineage: Eukaryota; Metazoa; Arthropoda; Insecta; Hymenoptera; Formicidae.
CGCAUAACUACAUUUGCUGGAAGUAUUUCGUUACGUUGUACAAUCUUGACAAGGACCAUCCAGGAAACGCAAGAGUUUGUCCAAAAAUAACAAACAGACAUAUUGUGCUGGACAACACAUCGAAAAUGCGAGUCAGACUGGCAACUCAGAUCUUUAGUAACUCCGUUGCUGACGGGCUCGCAUUUUAUUUAUCACACGGAUGCCAAGGACUCAGCGGGUGCGAAGAAACAAUUUCCUUUUGUAAACGCUUCAACGAUAUGUUUGACGCAAUGAACCGAAAA